AGUCUCUAAGGGAGGAGGCCGGAGCGCCUCCCUGUAAUCCCGAAGGAAUUGAAAACUAACAAAGAAAAGGAAAUCACGGGCUAGGUCGCGAGUAUCUCGUUGUCACCCUGAAUUUGCUACUGCGUAUUGAAUCACAGCUUCUUGUUUGGGGACUGCGAAGCUAUGGAUCAUAGGAGGGCAAGCCAGCAGUCCUUUAUCAGACAAAUAUGCUUUUAAAUCAUUUUAAAGAUUUGUAGUUCCACUGUUUCUAAGCACUGUGUUAAUUAUUGGGGAUACUGUGCUUCAUCACAAAUUUCCAAGAGAUGGUGUCCCGAGACUAAGCAUUUAAAAUUUUGUGAAGGUUUUUUGAUUUUUUUUUUUUUUUUUUUUGAGACGAAGUCUCACUCUGUCGCCCAGGCUGAAGUGUGCAGUGGCGCGAUCCCGGCCCACUGCAACCUCUGCCUCCCGGGCUCAAGUGAUUCUCCUUCCUCAGCCUCCCGAGUAGCUGGGAUUACAGGCGUGCGCCACCAUGCCCGGCCUUAUUUUUGUUUUUUUGAGACACAACCUCACUGUCCCCCGGGAUGGAGUGAAGUGGCGCAAUCAGGGUUCACUGCAGCCUAGACCUGCUGGGCUCAAGCCAUCCUCCCACCUCAGCCUCCAAGUAGCUGGGAUUACAGGCGCACACCACCAAUGCCCAGCUAAUUUUUGUAUUUUUAGUAGAGAUGGGGUUUCCCCACAUUGCCCAGGCUGGUCUGGAACUCAUGGCCUCAAGCGAUCUGCCCCGCUCUGCCUCCCAAAGUGCUGGGAUUACAAGUGUGAGCCACCGUGUCCACCGGGGAAGGCUUUUGGUCAGAACAAUGGCUGGCAAAACCACAGGCAUCGGAAGGCCAGAGCUAGGGAUAUAAUAUAAAU
RNAcentral lists this long non-coding RNA (891 nucleotides) under Homo sapiens (human). RNAcentral describes it as "non-protein coding lnc-TMEM167B-4:2". Lineage: Eukaryota; Metazoa; Chordata; Mammalia; Primates; Hominidae. The record is from RNAcentral.